GCUUUACUGUUCCCUGCAUUGGGUUCUCGGCCUUCCUGCGCAGCCUAGGUGGAGGCACAGAAGCUCCUCUUCCGGGAGGGUCAAGCCAUCCGUGAGAGACAACCCUGGAAGGGCUAAGAUCCUAAACCAAUGGAACCGUGUCAGCAGACAGUUUCUCUGGGGCAGAGGCCUCCCAAAGAGUAAUGGAGGCGUGCAAAGGUUCCCUCAGGCCUGGACGGGAAUCAGUUUAAGAGAGUGUAAAGGCAGAAGGGAGCUUGACUGCAAGACCAACAAGUCGAGCCAGGGACGAAAGUCGGCCUUAGUGAUCCGACGGUGCCGAGUGGAAGGGCCGUCGCUUAUCGGAUAAAAGUUA
Molecule: ribosomal RNA, 352 nt
Filed under: uncultured alga
Lineage: Eukaryota
Description: bacterial LSU rRNA
Rfam family: Bacterial large subunit ribosomal RNA
Source: RNAcentral